Molecule: ribosomal RNA, 400 nt
Filed under: uncultured bacterium
Lineage: Bacteria
Description: bacterial SSU rRNA
Rfam family: Bacterial small subunit ribosomal RNA
Source: RNAcentral
UGGGGAAUAUUGGGCAAUGGGCGAAAGCCUGACCCAGCAACGCCGCGUGAGGGAAGAAGGCCUUCGGGUUGUAAACCUCUGUCCUUGGUGACGAAAAAAACUGACGGUAGCCAAGGAGGAAGCCCCGGCUAACUACGUGCCAGCAGCCGCGGUAAUACGUAGGGGGCGAGCGUUGUCCGGAAUUACUGGGCGUAAAGGGUGCGUAGGCGGCCUUUUAAGUUGGAUGUGAAAUACCCGGGCUUAACUUGGGGGGUGCAUCUAAUACUGGAGGGCUAGAGUGCAGGAGAGGGAAGCGGAAUUCCUAGUGUAGCGGUGAAAUGCGUAGAUAUUAGGAGGAACACUAGUGGCGAAGGCGGCUUUCUGGACUGUAACUGACGCUGAGGCACGAAAGCGUGGGGAG